Molecule: ribosomal RNA, 470 nt
Filed under: uncultured organism
Description: partial 16S ribosomal RNA
Rfam family: Bacterial small subunit ribosomal RNA
Source: RNAcentral
ACUCCUACGGGAGGCAGCAGUGGGGAAUUUUGGACAAUGGGCGAAAGCCUGAUCCAGCAAUGCCGCGUGUGUGAAGAAGGCCUUCGGGUUGUAAAGCACUUUUGUCCGGAAAGAAAUCCUUGGCUCUAAUACAGUCGGGGGAUGACGGUACCGGAAGAAUAAGCACCGGCUAACUACGUGCCAGCAGCCGCGGUAAUACGUAGGGUGCGAGCGUUAAUCGGAAUUACUGGGCGUAAAGCGUGCGCAGGCGGUUUGCUAAGACCGAUGUGAAAUCCCCGGGCUCAACCUGGGAACUGCAUUGGUGACUGGCAGGCUAGAGUAUGGCAGAGGGGGGUAGAAUUCCACGUGUAGCAGUGAAAUGCGUAGAGAUGUGGAGGAAUACCGAUGGCGAAGGCAGCCCCCUGGGCCAAUACUGACGCUCAUGCACGAAAGCGUGGGGAGCAAACAGGAUUAGAAACCCGGGUAGUCCC